RNAcentral lists this ribosomal RNA (1218 nucleotides) under Acinetobacter johnsonii. RNAcentral describes it as "bacterial SSU rRNA". It matches the Rfam family "Bacterial small subunit ribosomal RNA", at positions 242 to 1458 of the family's 1533-position model. Lineage: Bacteria; Pseudomonadati; Pseudomonadota; Gammaproteobacteria; Moraxellales; Moraxellaceae. The record is from RNAcentral.
UAGCUAGUUGGUGGGUAAAGCCUACCAAGGCGACGAUCGUAGGGGUCUGAGAGGAUGAUCCGCACACUGGGACUGAGACACGGCCCAGAUUCCUACGGGAGGCAGCAGUGGGAAUAUUGGACAAUGGGCGAAAGCCUGAUCCAGCCAUGCCGCGUGUUGAAGAAGGCCUUUUGGUUGUAAAGCACUUUAAGCGAGGAGGAGGCUACUUAGAUUAAUACUCUAGGAUAGUGGACGUUACUCGCAGAAUAAGCACCGGCUAACUCUGUGCCAGCAGCCGCGGUAAUACAGAGGGUGCGAGCGUUAAUCGGAUUUACUGGGCGUAAAGCGUGCGUAGGCGGCUUUUUAAGUCGGAUGUGAAAUCCCUGAGCUUAACUUAGGAAUUGCAUUCGAUACUGGGAAGCUAGAGUAUGGGAGAGGAUGGUAGAAUUCCAGGUGUAGCGGUGAAAUGCGUAGAGAUCUGGAGGAAUACCGAUGGCGAAGGCAGCCAUCUGGCCUAAUACUGACGCUGAGGUACGAAAGCAUGGGGAGCAAACAGGAUUAGAUACCCUGGUAGUCCAUGCCGUAAACGAUGUCUACUAGCCGUUGGGGCCUUUGAGGCUUUAGUGGCGCAGCUAACGCGAUAAGUAGACCGCCUGGGGAGUACGGUCGCAAGACUAAAACUCAAAUGAAUUGACGGGGGCCCGCACAAGCGGUGGAGCAUGUGGUUUAAUUCGAUGCAACGCGAAGAACCUUACCUGGUCUUGACAUAGUAAGAACUUUCCAGAGAUGGAUUGGUGCCUUCGGGAACUUACAUACAGGUGCUGCAUGGCUGUCGUCAGCUCGUGUCGUGAGAUGUUGGGUUAAGUCCCGCAACGAGCGCAACCCUUUUCCUUAUUUGCCAGCGGGUUAAGCCGGGAACUUUAAGGAUACUGCCAGUGACAAACUGGAGGAAGGCGGGGACGACGUCAAGUCAUCAUGGCCCUUACGACCAGGGCUACACACGUGCUACAAUGGUCGGUACAAAGGGUUGCUACCUAGCGAUAGGAUGCUAAUCUCAAAAAGCCGAUCGUAGUCCGGAUUGGAGUCUGCAACUCGACUCCAUGAAGUCGGAAUCGCUAGUAAUCGCGGAUCAGAAUGCCGCGGUGAAUACGUUCCCGGGCCUUGUACACACCGCCCGUCACACCAUGGGAAUUUGUUGCACCAGAAGUAGGUAGUCUAACCGCAAGGAGGACGCUUACC